RNAcentral lists this ribosomal RNA (479 nucleotides) under uncultured bacterium. RNAcentral describes it as "partial 16S ribosomal RNA". It matches the Rfam family "Bacterial small subunit ribosomal RNA", at positions 28 to 507 of the family's 1533-position model. The record is from RNAcentral.
GAUGAACGCUAGCGGGAGGCCUAACACAUGCAAGCCGAGCGGUAGAGAUUCUUCGGCCUCUUGAGAGCGGCGUACGGGUGCGGAACACGUGUGCAACCUGCCUUUAUCAGGGGGAUAGCCUUUCGAAAGGAAGAUUAAUACCCCAUAAUAUAUUUUAUGGCAUCAUUAGAUAUUGAAAGCUUUGGCGGAUAGAGAUGGGCACGCGCAAGAUUAGAUAGUUGGUGAGGUAACGGCUCACCAAGUCGAUGAUCUUUAGGGGGCCUGAGAGGGUGAUCCCCCAGACUGGGACUGAGGCACGGACCAGACUCCUACGGGAGGCAGCAGUGAGGAAUAUUGGACAAUGGGUUAGCGCCUGAUCCAGCCAUCCCGCGUGAAGGACGACGGCCCUAUGGGUUGUAAACUUCUUUUGUACAGGGAUAAACCUACUCUCGUGAGAGUAGCUGAAGGUACUGUACGAAUAAGCACCGGCUAACUCCGUG